RNAcentral lists this ribosomal RNA (492 nucleotides) under uncultured bacterium. Its description in RNAcentral is "partial 16S ribosomal RNA". It matches the Rfam family "Bacterial small subunit ribosomal RNA", at positions 29 to 507 of the family's 1533-position model. The record is from RNAcentral.
AGUGAACGCUGGCGGUAGGCCUAACACAUGCGAGUCGAACGGCAGCACAGUAAGAGCUUGCUCUUACGGGUGGCGAGUGGCGGACGGGUGAGGAAUACAUCGGAAUCUAGUUUUUCGUGGGGGAUAACGUAGGGAAACUUACGCUAAUACCGCAUACGACCUACGGGUGAAAGCAGGGGAUCUUCGGACCUUGCGCGAUUGAAUGAGCCGAUGUCGGAUUAGCUAGUUGGCGGGGUAAAGGCCCACCAAGGCGACGAUCCGUAGCUGGUCUGAGAGGAUGAUCAGCCACACUGGAACUGAGACACGGUCCAGACUCCUACGGGAGGCAGCAGUGGGGAAUAUUGGACAAUGGGCGCAAGCCUGAUCCAGCCAUACCGCGUGGGUGAAGAAGGCCUUCGGGUUGUAAAGCCCUUUUGUUGGGAAAGAAAAGCAGCAGGUUAAUACCCCGCUGUUCUGACGGUACCCAAAGAAUAAGCACCGGCUAACUUCGUG